RNAcentral lists this ribosomal RNA (252 nucleotides) under uncultured bacterium. RNAcentral describes it as "partial 16S ribosomal RNA". It matches the Rfam family "Bacterial small subunit ribosomal RNA", at positions 524 to 776 of the family's 1533-position model. The record is from RNAcentral.
UACGGGGGGGGCUAGCGUUGCUCGGAAUCACUGGGCGUAAAGGGUGCGUAGGCGGGUCUUUAAGUCAGGGGUGAAAUCCUGGAGCUCAACUCCAGAACUGCCUUUGAUACUGAAGAUCUUGAGUUCGGGAGAGGUGAGUGGAACUGCGAGUGUAGAGGUGAAAUUCGUAGAUAUUCGCAAGAACCCCAGUGGCGAAGGCGGCUCACUGGCCGAUACUGACGCUGAGGCACGAAAGCGUGGGGAGCAAACAGG